Non-coding RNA from Trichonephila inaurata madagascariensis, 88 nucleotides. The record is from the annotation of a GenBank genome assembly. Lineage: Eukaryota; Metazoa; Arthropoda; Arachnida; Araneae; Nephilidae.
AUGGCCAUAAUGCGCUGAAACCGCUGGUUCUCGGCCGAUCACCGAAGUUAAGCAUCGUCGGGCGCGGUCAGUAGUUAGACGGGUGACA